This 910-nucleotide ribosomal RNA is filed under the name uncultured organism. Its description in RNAcentral is "bacterial SSU rRNA". It matches the Rfam family "Bacterial small subunit ribosomal RNA", at positions 16 to 970 of the family's 1533-position model. The record is from RNAcentral.
AUCCUGGCUCAGGAUGAACGCUGGCGGUCUGCUUAACACAUGCAAGUCGAACGGGCUCUUCGGAGCUAGUGGCGGACGGGUGAGUAACGCGUGAGGACCUGCCUUCAGGAGGGGGAUAACGACUGGAAACGGUCGCUAAUACCGCAUAUGCCUACGGGUGAAAGAUUUAUUGCCUGGAGAUGAACUCGCGUCAGAUUAGCUAGUUGGUGGGGUAAGAGCCUACCAAGGCGACGAUCUGUAGCUGGUCUGAGAGGAUGAUCAGCCACACUGGGACUGAGACACGGCCCAGACUCCUACGGGAGGCAGCAGUGGGGAAUUUUCCGCAAUGGGCGCAAGCCUGACGGAGCAAGACCGCGUGCGGGAUGACGGCCUAAUGGUUGUAAACCGCUUUUCUCUGGGAAGAUGAUGACGGUACCAGAGGAAUCAGCCUCGGCUAACUCCGUGCCAACAGCCGCGGUAAUACGGAGGAGGCAAGCGUUAUCCGGAAUUAUUGGGCGUAAAGCGUCCGUAGGUGGUUAUUCAAGUCUGCUGUCAAAGCGUGGGGCUUAACUCCAUAGAGGCAGUGGAAACUGGAUGACUUGAGUGCGGUAGGGGUCGAGGGAAUUCCCAGUGUAGCGGUGAAAUGCGUAGAUAUUGGGAAGAACACCAGUGGCGAAAGCGCUCGACUGGGCCUGCACUGACACUGAGGGACGAAAGCUAGGGGAGCGAAAGGGAUUAGAUACCCCUGUAGUCCUAGCCGUAAACGAUGGAUACUAGGUGUUGCUCGUCAUCGACCCGAGCAGUGCCGUAGCCAACGCGUUAAGUAUCCCGACUGGGGAGUACGCUCGCAAGAGUGAAAACUCAAAGGAAUUGACGGGGGCCCGUACAAGCGGUGGACUAUGUGGUUUGAUUCGAUGCAACGCGAAGAACC